AGUCGAACGGAUCCUUCGGGAUUAGUGGCAGACGGGUGAGUAACGCGUGGGAAGCUACCUUGUGGUAGGGGACAACAGUUGGAAACGACUGCUAAUACCCUAUGAGCCCUAUGGGGGAAAGAUUUAUCGCCAUGAGAUGUGCCCGCGUUAGAUUAGCUAGUUGGUAAGGUAAUGGCUUACCAAGGCGACGAUCUAUAGCUGGUCUGAGAGGAUGAUCAGCCACACUGGGACUGAGACACGGCCCAGACUCCUACGGGAGGCAGCAGUGGGGAAUAUUGGACAAUGGGGGCAACCCUGAUCCAGCCAUGCCGCGUGUGUGAUGACGGCCUUAGGGUUGUAAAGCACUUUCAGCAGUGAAGAUAAUGACAUUAACUGCAGAAGAAGCCCCGGCUAACUUCGUGCCAGCAGCCGCGGUAAUACGAAGGGGGCUAGCGUUGUUCGGAAUCACUGGGCGUAAAGAGUACGUAGGCGGACUGAUAAGUUAGGGGUGAAAUCCCAAGGCUCAACCUUGGAACUGCCUUUGAUACUGUCAGUCUUGAGAUCGAGAGAGGUGAGUGGAACUCCGAGUGUAGAGGUGAAAUUCGUAGAUAUUCGGAAGAACACCAGUGGCGAAGGCGGCUCACUGGCUCGAUACUGACGCUGAGGUACGAAAGCGUGGGGAGCA
RNAcentral lists this ribosomal RNA (664 nucleotides) under Pseudovibrio sp. Pv56. Its description in RNAcentral is "bacterial SSU rRNA". It matches the Rfam family "Bacterial small subunit ribosomal RNA", at positions 60 to 770 of the family's 1533-position model. The record is from RNAcentral. Lineage: Bacteria; Pseudomonadati; Pseudomonadota; Alphaproteobacteria; Hyphomicrobiales; Stappiaceae.